CCCGCUGAACUUAAGCAUAUCAAUAAGCGGAGGAAAAGAAACUAACAAGGAUUCCCCUAGUAACUGCGAGUGAAGCGGGAAGAGCUCAAAUUUGAAAUCUGGCAGUUGUUGACUGUCCGAGUUGUAAUCUAGAGAAGUGUUACCAGUGCAGGACCGUGUACAAGUCUCCUGGAAUGGGGCAUCAUAGAGGGUGAGAAUCCCGUCUUUGGCACGGACUACCUGUACAUCAUGGUGCGCUCUCAAAGAGUCGAGUUGUUUGGGAAUGCAGCUCAAAAUGGGUGGUAAAUGCCAUCUAAAGCUAAAUAUUGGCGAGAGACCGAUAGCGAACAAGUACCGUGAGGGAAAGAUGAAAAGAACUUUGGAAAGAGAGUUAAACAGUACGUGAAAUUGCCGAAAGGGAAACGCUUGAAGUCAGUCACGUUGGCUAGAAAUCAGCCUUGCUCUUGCUUGGUGUACUUUCUGGUUGAUGGGUCAGCAUCAAUUUUGACCAUUGGAUAAAGGUCAUUGGGAAUACUCCCUGUGUCGUAAUACAGUGGUUGGGAUUGAGGAAUUCAGCACGCCGCAAGGCAGGGUUUCGACCACAUUCGUGCUUAGGAUGCUGGCAUAAUGGCUUUAAUCGACCCGUCUUGAAACACGG
This 637-nucleotide ribosomal RNA is filed under the name uncultured fungus. Its description in RNAcentral is "eukaryotic LSU rRNA". It matches the Rfam family "Eukaryotic large subunit ribosomal RNA", at positions 24 to 664 of the family's 3401-position model. The record is from RNAcentral. Lineage: Eukaryota; Fungi.